GACGAACGCUGGCGGCGUGCUUAACACAUGCAAGUCGAACGGAAAGGCCCUGCUUUUGUGGGGUGCUCGAGUGGCGAACGGGUGAGUAACACGUGAGUAACCUGCCCUUGACUUUGGGAUAACUUCAGGAAACUGGGGCUAAUACCGGAUAGGAGCUCCUGCUGCAUGGUGGGGGUUGGAAAGUUUCGGCGGUUGGGGAUGGACUCGCGGCUUAUCAGCUUGUUGGUGGGGUAGUGGCUUACCAAGGCUUUGACGGGUAGCCGGCCUGAGAGGGUGACCGGCCACAUUGGGACUGAGAUACGGCCCAGACUCCUACGGGAGGCAGCAGUGGGGAAUAUUGCACAAUGGGCGGAAGCCUGAUGCAGCAACUCCGCGUGCGGGAUGACGGCCUUCGUGUUGUAAACCGCUUUCGCCUGUGACGAAGCGUGAGUGACGGUAAUGGGUAAAGAAGCACCGGCUAACUACGUG
Molecule: ribosomal RNA, 468 nt
Filed under: uncultured bacterium
Lineage: Bacteria
Description: partial 16S ribosomal RNA
Rfam family: Bacterial small subunit ribosomal RNA
Source: RNAcentral